Long non-coding RNA from Armigeres subalbatus, 847 nucleotides. RefSeq lists it as uncharacterized. The transcript has 3 exons. Lineage: Eukaryota; Metazoa; Arthropoda; Insecta; Diptera; Culicidae. The record is from RefSeq and is a predicted model, not a curated record.
AUAACUUCGCAAGGGUUUUCAUACGACGCGAAAAAAUCCUGGACUGUAUAUCCUGUAUAUAUAACAUUGCACGACGUAUGUACAUCAAGAUCGACUGUCCGAUGUAGUGUAUGAGAAUUCGCUUCACAUUUUUAUAGUAACGAUUUCAGAAGCAACAGAGAACAAGAUUAACAAAGGCAAAGUAGCAUCGCACGCCCGCUCUCGCGUCUACGGUGUCCGGAGCACGGAUGGAUAUUGGACUAUGAACCAUCAAGAAGAACCACUUUCUCAACGCCGGAUUGAAAAUGUCACAUGAUGCAGCCGGGAGUAGCCACUUCCGAUGAAACUGCGUUGAAUUGUUUAACUCGACCUUAUGCUUUGCCGAAUGUUAAAGCUAUUUAAUCAAUCGAAGGCGGUAUACCAAGUUUUCCGUUUGCUGCAUUGUCCAUCAUCCAUCCGCAAAUAAGUGUAGCAUUAUCCGCACGUGAUGUAGCCGGUAAGACACUUUUUAAGAAACCGAAUGUCGAUUUACAGUUGUCACAAUUAAGUGCGAUAUCCAAAACAAGUUUAAAAAGAUGGAAUUCUAUAAUAAGUUUACAGUUCCCGGUUUCCAAUCCCUUACAUCAUUUUACUUGGGCUCUUCAGGAUGUUCUUGAAAAUCUAUACAGGAGAGACGUUGACAUGACAAAUAGAAUAACUUCUAAAUCGAUCUCCGGAUGGGAGUCAAACCGGAAAUGCAUCGACCAAAAAAUUAAAUACCAAGAAGACGGUUUCAGUUCUCGCGACAAUAAUAAAAUUUAUGUUGAAUUUAUUUUCGUACUUUGGCAUUCGUGCAAUUAUUUAUGUUUUGUUUAGAAAAUAAUAUCGA